GAUAAACGCUGGCGGCGUGCCUAACACAUGCAAGUCGAACGCCCUGCGCAAGCAGGGAGUGGCGGACGGGUGAGCAACACGUGGAGACCUACCCCCGGGUGAGGAAUACCGGCGAGAAAUCGCCGACAAGACCGCAUACGCUUCUCCGGAAGCAAAGUUCGCAAGAACGCCCGAGGAUGGCUCUGCGCCCGAUUAGCUGGUUGGUGGGGUAAAAGCCUACCAAGGCGACGAUCGGUAGCUGGUCUGAGAGGAUGAUCAGCCACACUGGGAUUGAGAA
This 277-nucleotide ribosomal RNA is filed under the name uncultured bacterium. Its description in RNAcentral is "partial 16S ribosomal RNA". It matches the Rfam family "Bacterial small subunit ribosomal RNA", at positions 28 to 325 of the family's 1533-position model. The record is from RNAcentral.